Molecule: non-coding RNA, 1445 nt
Organism: Globicephala melas (long-finned pilot whale)
Lineage: Eukaryota; Metazoa; Chordata; Mammalia; Artiodactyla; Delphinidae
Source: RefSeq, a predicted model, not a curated record
CACUUUUCCGCAACCCCAGGCUUCGGCGCUUAGACUGGAAAGCGCGAGCCCUGAAGCGGUGAAAGGAACGGGUCUCCUAGCAUCUUCCAGAACUUACCACAGAGAAUUCCCAUCUUCAUUCCUUGGGUACCUCUACAAGGAUGGAAUUCGUAUACGAGAUAAGCAGACAUUAAAGGACUCAUCCUUGGAACAGCUGUGUGGCCUUGUUGCUAAGUGACGAUAUUGAAGCGACAUUAUUCCAUGAGAUUUCAGUCUAGUUUCCUGAGGUCGUUUGGACUGAGCUUCAUCUUCUCUCCUCCUUUUUACGGCCCGUUGGGCUGACAGGAUGACGGAGUCCCCCAGGGACCCCUGUUGGAACAUGAGUUACAGUUGCUGAGUGAGUUCCAUCCCUGGGACAGGGCUGCGUGGAACCCUGAGGAGGAGGAAAACAGCAAUGACGGGUACCAGCCGGAGCAACCUCCCUCCCCGACUCGGGCUCUCCUCCUGAGCCAGGCUCACUGCUUCCCGAACUUUCUUCCCUGAGGAUGAGUUCUCUUCCCAGCUGGCCUCAGCUCCUCUGAAGGGAACCUGACCACUGGCGAUGACAGCAGAGCCAGUCCUCACAUAAGCAGUUCUGACCUCUGCCUCAGUUCCUUUAGCUGGCCCGAUGGAAUUAGAUGCUACCUGAUGGGGUGCCCUGUCUCCUGGUCCAGCUCUGCUCCCACGCACAAAAAGCUCAAACUCAAAGUUCAGUGGAUGCUGGUAGACUUUUUAUCUGGAGAUAAAGGAAGGUGCUGAACUGAGGUGAGAAAAUGGACUCUCUCAUCUGAAUUUCUCCUCCAAAAUUGUUACCUGACAACAAGUAUCAGUGACAGUUAACCACAGAGGAUGAAAAGGAUUAUCUGGGGGUGUGCACCCGUAGCAGCUCUGCAGUCCAGCAAUUAAACUUUGCAGUAGUAGCCAGUUCCCCGCCCAGGGAUCAAACCCGUGACCCCUGCAGUGGGAGCACGGAGUCUUAACCACUGGACCGCCGGGGAAGUCCUCAAGUGCAUCUCUUCUCCUCCAUGGUACCACCAUAGCCUCUCCCAGGUGGCCGUCAGCUCUCCUCUGGAUUCUACAAUAUCUUCCAAACUGGCCUCCUUAUACCAGCUCUCAACUCCUGACCCUGACUCGCUCCUACCGACUGCAGAUCCCAGGAGGGAAGGAAACAAAGAAUUUUUGCCUAACAUAAUGCCUGUCAUAUUGUGGGUUUAAAAAUAUAUCUACCAAGGAAAAUGACUGAAUAAUCAGCGUUUAUGUGAUGAAAACAUAACUGGGCCAAGAAAAUGGUACUACAGUCACUGUCACAUGAAUAUCAGUUUGUUAAAUGAAGAGAUCAGUGCGGUGUGCCAUGAACAUAAAAAUAAACAAAAUGGAACAGAAUGAAUGGAUCCCAAAUUUAUUUUUUUUUAUUAUGUAUGACACAG